This is a non-coding RNA of Cronobacter sp., 76 nucleotides long. Lineage: Bacteria; Pseudomonadati; Pseudomonadota; Gammaproteobacteria; Enterobacterales; Enterobacteriaceae. The record is from Rfam.
CAGGGUAGAUAAACCAGCACGGGCGUAGGAGUUUUCUCCACGCCCGUGCUCGCAUGUUAAGGGCAGAAAACCAAAA